UACAGAGGGUGCGAGCGUUAAUCGGAAUUACUGGGCGUAAAGCGCGCGUAGGCGGCUUUGUAAGUCGGGUGUGAAAUCCCCAGGCUUAACCUGGGAACUGCAUUCGAGACUGCAUUGCUAGAGUAUGGGAGAGGGAAGUGGAAUUUCCGGUGUAGCGGUGAAAUGCGUAGAUAUCGGAAGGAACAUCAGUGGCGAAAGCGACUUCCUGGACCAAUACUUACGCUCCUGUGCGAAAGCGUGGGGAGCAAACAGG
This 253-nucleotide ribosomal RNA is filed under the name uncultured bacterium. RNAcentral's name for it is "partial 16S ribosomal RNA". It matches the Rfam family "Bacterial small subunit ribosomal RNA", at positions 524 to 776 of the family's 1533-position model. The record is from RNAcentral.